This is a transfer RNA of 97 nucleotides. It matches the Rfam family "tRNA". From Rfam's summary of the family: Transfer RNA (tRNA) molecules are approximately 80 nucleotides in length. Their secondary structure includes four short double-helical elements and three loops (D, anti-codon, and T loops). Further hydrogen bonds mediate the characteristic L-shaped molecular structure. tRNAs have two regions of fundamental functional importance: the anti-codon, which is responsible for specific mRNA codon recognition, and the 3' end, to which the tRNAs corresponding amino acid is attached (by aminoacyl-tRNA synthetases). tRNAs cope with the degeneracy of the genetic code in two manners: having more than one tRNA (with a specific anti-codon) for a particular amino acid; and 'wobble' base-pairing, i.e. permitting non-standard base-pairing at the 3rd anti-codon position. The record is from Rfam.
GGGCGGAUGGUUUAGUGGUAUAAUACUCCCUUAGCAUCUCAUCCAACGUGAAGAUCCCGCUUGGGAGUGGUCCGGGGUUCGAUUCCCCGUCUGUCCA